AGUGAACGCUGGCGGUAGGCCUAACACAUGCAAGUCGAACGGCAGCACAGUAAGAGCUUGCUCUUACGGGUGGCGAGUGGCGGACGGGUGAGGAAUACAUCGGAAUCUACUUUUUCGUGGGGGAUAACGUAGGGAAACUUACGCUAAUACCGCAUACGACCUACGGGUGAAAGCAGGGGAUCUUCUGACCUUGCGCGAUUGAAUGAGCCGAUGUCGGAUUAGCUAGUUGGCGGGGUAAAGGCCCACCAAGGCGACGAUCCGUAGCUGGUCUGAGAGGAUGAUCAGCGACACUGGAACUGAGACACGGUCCAGACGCCUACGGGAGGCAGCAGUGGGGAAUAUUGGACAAUGGGCGCAAGCCUGAUCCAGCCAUACCGCGUGGGUGAAGAAGGCCUUCGGGUUGUAAAGCCCUUUUGUUGGGAAAGAAAAGCAGCAGGUUAAUACCCCGCUGUUCUGACGGUACCCAAAGAAUAAGCACCGGCUAACUUCGUG
RNAcentral lists this ribosomal RNA (492 nucleotides) under uncultured bacterium. Its description in RNAcentral is "partial 16S ribosomal RNA". It matches the Rfam family "Bacterial small subunit ribosomal RNA", at positions 29 to 507 of the family's 1533-position model. The record is from RNAcentral.